This 592-nucleotide ribosomal RNA is filed under the name Salinibacterium sp. RNAcentral's name for it is "bacterial SSU rRNA". It matches the Rfam family "Bacterial small subunit ribosomal RNA", at positions 53 to 657 of the family's 1533-position model. The record is from RNAcentral. Lineage: Bacteria; Bacillati; Actinomycetota; Actinomycetes; Micrococcales; Microbacteriaceae.
ACAUGCAGUCGAACGAUGAAGCCGGAGCUUGCUCUGGUGGAUUAGUGGCGAACGGGUGAGUAACACGUGAGUAACCUGCCCUUGACUCUGGAAUAAGCGUUGGAAACGACGUCUAAUACUGGAUACGAGCUUCAGCCGCAUGGCUAGGAGCUGGAAAGAAUUUCGGUCAAGGAUGGACUCGCGGCCUAUCAGGUAGUUGGUGAGGUAAUGGCUCACCAAGCCUACGACGGGUAGCCGGCCUGAGAGGGUGACCGGCCACACUGGAACUGAGACACGGUCCAGACUCCUACGGGAGGCAGCAGUGGGGAAUAUUGCACAAUGGGCGAAAGCCUGAUGCAGCAACGCCGCGUGAGGGACGACGGCCUUCGGGUUGUAAACCUCUUUUAGUAGGGAAGAAGCGAAAGUGACGGUACCUGCAGAAAAAGCACCGGCUAACUACGUGCCAGCAGCCGCGGUAAUACGUAGGGUGCAAGCGUUAUCCGGAAUUAUUGGGCGUAAAGAGCUCGUAGGCGGUUUGUCGCGUCUGCUGUGAAAACUGGAGGCUCAACCUCCAGCCUGCAGUGGGUCCGGGCAGACUAGAGUGCGGUAGGGG